AGUAAAUACUCCGAUUCGGAUCCGGAAUAUCUGCCUUGGCAGUGUUGGUGGUGGUCGUAUGUAGCGGUGUGAGGAUGAACUCUAGAUCGGUCUGCCAUUCGUCAAAACUGCCAUCAUCGGUGGGCUGAGUGGAAUGUUUUGGUAGGCCAAAGUUGAUGAAUUAACAUUUAUGGUGAUAAAAUUAAAUGUUUGGAUAUGGACUAUCAAUGUAUCAUAUACAAGUAUAUGAAGUUCAUAAUAAUUAAUUUCUAGGAAUUCUUUAGAACUUUUGUAGUCUUAAAAGAGCAGAGAUAGUCAUGGAUAGCUGAAAUCCUACACCUCUCUAAAGAACUGACUAAGAAUAGUGGAACCUAUCAUUUCAAGGAACAAUCUAGAGUCGAGGGAUUCUUUGGCCGCAUCCUGGGUAUGAGUUGCCGUCUUCCUUCCCUCCCCAAAUCCUGAUCAUAGUUUUCUAUGAGCGUGAUAUACCGGAUACGAUGAUGAUGAUGAUGAUGAGAUAGUCAUCGACUAUUUUGUUUGUAUACAAACUGUGAACUGAGCUGCAAAAAUCAAAUUGCAAAAAAACUGAACCGUCCAAAAAUCAGCUCAAAAUGUAGGUUGAUUGCAGGUGGGGGCUGGAGUGAGGACUCAGCUUAGAUCCCGUAACCAUCAAGAUUAAGAUAUAAUUUGUAAUAAGUUUAUGAGUCGAAAUAACUCGGUUUAUGUAACGAAAGUUUAUGACGUUUUUCUUUUAUUUCGUACAACUUUUUAGCUAGUCUAGAGGCCGGUACGUAGGCUCUCGAGUUGUAUGUAAAGACUUCCGCUGACUUGUUUUCUUAUUUGGCGUUAAUCUUGACUCUAAUUCCAUCUCAAGUCUCAAGUCUCAAGUCUCAAGUCUCAUUUUGCCACUCACGAAUUGACUUAGUCCAAUUUGUCUACUUAGUAUACAAGU
Long non-coding RNA from Amaranthus tricolor (Joseph's coat), 931 nucleotides. RefSeq lists it as uncharacterized. Lineage: Eukaryota; Viridiplantae; Streptophyta; Magnoliopsida; Caryophyllales; Amaranthaceae. The record is from RefSeq and is a predicted model, not a curated record. The transcript has 3 exons.